This 790-nucleotide ribosomal RNA is filed under the name uncultured archaeon. RNAcentral describes it as "bacterial SSU rRNA". It matches the Rfam family "Archaeal small subunit ribosomal RNA", at positions 85 to 876 of the family's 1478-position model. The record is from RNAcentral.
ACGGCUCAGUAACACGUGGAUAACCUGCCCUCAGAUCUGGCAUAACCCCGGGAAACUGGGGAUAAUUCCGGAUAACGCAUAUGUGCUGGAAUGCUUUAUGCGUCAAAGGUCCUCCGCCUGAGGAUGGGUCUGCGGCCUAUCAGGUAGUAGCGGGUGUAAUGUACCUGCUAGCCGACGACGGGUACGGGUUGUGAGAGCAAGAGCCCGGAGAUGGAUUCUGAGACAUGAAUCCAGGCCCUACGGGGCGCAGCAGGCGCGAAAACUUUACAAUGCGGGAAACCGUGAUAAGGGGACACCGAGUGCCAGCAACAUUUGCUGGCUGUCCACGUGCGUAAAAUGCACGUGUUAGCAAGGGCCGGGCAAGACCGGUGCCAGCCGCCGCGGUAACACCGGCGGCCCGAGUGGUGAUCGUUAUUAUUGGGUCUAAAGGGUCCGUAGCCGGUUUGGUCAGUCUUCCGGGAAAUCUGUCAGCUUAACUGAUAGGCUAUCGGGGGAUACUGCUAGACUUGGAACCGGGAGAGGUAAGAGGUACUACAGGGGUAGGAGUGAAAUCUUGUAAUCCCUGUGGGACCACCUGUGGCGAAGGCGUCUUACCAGAACGGGUUCGACGGUGAGGGACGAAAGCUGGGGGCACGAACCGGAUUAGAUACCCGGGUAGUCCCAGCCGUAAACGAUGCUCGCUAGGUGUCAUGCAUGGUGCGACCGUGUAUGGUGCCGUAGGGAAGCCGUGAAGCGAGCCACCUGGGAAGUACGGCCGCAAGGCUGAAACUUAAAGGAAUUGGCGGGGGAG